GGAGCUCUGGGUCGCUCGUCUCAUCCCCUUCUUUCGCCGGCAGGAACGCCACGAGACCGCGGCGGCUACUCGACGGCAAAUCGCGCUCGGUGGUCCUCGACGGCCGACUGCCCUUGUCGUCCACGGCAGCUACAUCCCGGCGAGGUGGUUCCUCUCUGUCCCGCUCCCCCUCCCGCAGCGGCUACAUCUUGGCGUGUGCUCUGCCGCCGGCCACCGCGUUGCCGUGAUGUACGCUGCCACUGCUGCUUCUAAUCUGCAGCCGGCCACCGCGUUGCGGUGAUGCGCGCUGCCGCUGUGGCUCCACGUCGUACACCAUGGCACGGACGGGUUGACCCUUCCCUUCACCACCUCGGACACUGACAGCAGCAACUCGUCCAUGGUGUGGAAGCCGACGACGUGCUCUACUCCGUUCACCAGCUUGUGUAGGUCGUCCCAUGCGGUCUUCGAGCCGUACGGCCGCCGCGCCGCCCCAGUGCAGGUCGUCCCGCGCUGUCCCCGAGCCGCAUGACCGCCGCCUCUAUGCAGGUCUUCAACAGCAAGGAACGCCGGCCUCGUAGCUGCUCCGCGAUGCGUUGUCUAGCUGCACCAUGGAUAAAGAGCACCAUGUACAGAGCCUUGAACGACAUCGAGCUCUUCUACCACCUGGAGACGCGCCGGCCUCCUCCAUCGCCGGGGAGGGGGAGCAGCACGGCUGUGCCACCAGCGGCAUCUGCUACUCUGGCGGCGGCCAUCAGCAGAUAACAACGGCGGCGGUGAACUGGUUCAACCCAUCCUAAUUUGUUUUGAAUCAGUGAAUUGGCUGGAUGCACUGGUCAAAUUAGCACAAGGGUAGUUUUGUCCACUGUUUUUUGUAUAUAUUAUGUUAAUCAUUUGCAAGUAUUAUUUUUGUGUGAAAAAGUGGCAAAAGAUCAAAGUGCAAAGUAAAGAGUGGCAACAAGUCAAUUACAAUGUAAUGAGUGGCAAAUUAUCAAAGUGCAAAGUAAAGGCCUGUUCGGUAUCUCGCCAAUUUCAAAACUCCGCUCCGUGCUAGGAGCUGGUUCCGAGCCACUCCGUAGGAUUCCACUGCCGCUCCCUCCGCUCCGGGAGUCGCAGCCGUGGAGCCGAGUGAAUCCGAACAGGGCUUAAGUGGUGGCAAAAAGUCAAAAACCCCGACAUUGUGGGUCCAUACUCCGGCGGCAACGCUUCAGCGAAAAAAAACCCCUAUCCUUCGAGACGCUGCACGACGGCAGGGACGCAUAGCUAUGGCGACGGCGGAGGCGACAGGCGAGGGUUCGGAGUUCCUAUCGGAUCCAGUUGACAGGUUUCCUCUGCCAGAUCUCGCCGCCGAUGAAUCGCUGGUAAGCGGCGGAGGCAACCAAACUUUCGUAUGCACGGCUACCGAAUUCAGUAUCGGUGAUGUGGGUGAUGCGGCGGUGACAUUGGAAGUAGAUUUGCAGAGCGAAUGCAAUGUAGUGGCUCUGUCGGCGCCGAACUCAGAGCAGUCGACGGGCAAAGACGAUCCUCAGGCGCCGGGCUGGACUAAGAGACUGCUUGUUGGGCAUGCACCUGAAGUCCUGAAGAACGCCCUCCGUGUGCCGGCAGAAUGAGUGCUCUUGAAAAAGCAUUGAGAAGAUAUACUGAGAAGAAAACUGACACUGUAAUAGUGCCUGCAGUAGGAAGCACGUCUGAUUCACUUGGAGAAGCUUAUGACUAUUACAAUUUGUAUUCCUGGGAAAUUGGGGAUUUGGGGUAAGAUAUGGCAAGAGCAGGCUUAAUGUUGAAAGGACAAAAUGCAUGCAAGAGAUAGUAUGUGGCUGCUCGGGGAUUCCAUAGAAAAGCAACACCCGGACUUGCCGGUGCAGGUGCCCCGCGCUCAUACGAUUGCUUCGAUCAAAGGACAAUGGAUGGUACAUAAGUGAGUUCAUACCAUCACACAGCCAUUCUUUAAUGGAGAAGUGUGGCAAGAAGGUGUACUCGCCGUCACACAGACAUAUCGAUAUAUACACACGUGAUGUGGUUAAGCAACUCCAUGAAAAUAACAAUAGCAUUGGCAAGGUUUACAAUAUAAUGGAGUAGUUUCUUUGGUUCAAUGUCCAAUGUGCCAUUCAUCAAAAGAGCGUUGAGGGGGCUAUGUGGCAAGAUCAGCCGUGAGCAAGCAGACGAUGAUGUCAGGAAGACAAUGGAUGUUUUUGCCGAGUUGGGAGCAAAAGAUACUGGUCUGUACUACAGAGUGCAGUCGGAUGAGGAUAGCCGCAUACGGAAUUUGUUAUGGUCAACCGGAUCAAGCAGGGCCCAGUACCACUUCUUUGGAGAUGCGAUAACAUUUGAUACAACAUACCGUACCGACCUCUUUGACAUGCCAUUUGGCCUGUUUGUGGGAGUCAACAGACACUUCUAGACCAUGAUAUUUGGUGGCGUCCUAGUGAGAGAUGAGACAGUCGAGACUUUUCAGUGGGUAUUCACUGAAUUCAUUCGCAUGAUGGGCGGAAAACAUCCACAAACUUUGCUUACAGAUCAAUGCAGGUCCAUGGAGAUAGCAAUGGAGAAAGUGAUGCCAGAAACCACUCACCGCUGGUGCAAGUGGCACGUGCUGAAGAAGGCAAAGGAGUCUCUGGGACCAUACUACACAAAGCGCAACAAAUUCAGGCCAGAGUUCCACAAGAUAAUACUCCCUCCGUUCAGAAUUACUUGUCACACAAAUGGAUGUAUCUACAACUAAAAUACAUCUAGAUACAUUCAUUUCUUGGACGAGUAAUUCCGAACGGAGGGAGUACAUCACAUGCUGACAGUGGAGGAAUUCGAAACUGCAUGGAAGCAACUGACAGAAUCACAUGGUUUCGAAAAACAUCCUUACCUUACUCACAUCUAUGAAACAAGAGCAAAAUGGGCUAAACCGCUAAACCAUACUUUAAAAGUAAAUUUUGUGCCAAAAUGACAAGCACACAGCGCAGCGAGAGUGCGAACCAUAUGCUCAAGGGUUAUGUUCCAGCAAGCUGCCCCAUGCAUCUCUUUGUUCGACAGUACAUGCGGCUUCUUUCUUAUAGAGAAGCAAAUGAAAACUAUGAGGAGAGGCGCACAAAAAUAGUAGCCCCAGAAAAUGAACACGCGAAGAGUUGCAUGCAAGCAGAGUCUAUACACGAGCCAUGUUCUAAAAAUUUGGUGAGAUUAUAUACGAAGCAGGUCAAUACAGAGUAGAGGAGGUGACUAGACAGAAAACCUACUUGGUGCGACGAUACCACCCAAAAAAAUUAUGAGAAGUGGGGCAGGAUUGUCUACAAAGUAGAACUUGCUGACGAAGGGAAUGAGUUGAUAUUUGAGUGUUCUAGUUUCGAACACACAGGUCUGCUAUGCUGCCAUUCAGUGAAGGUAAAAAUUAAAUCCCUUGGUACAUGACGCGGGGUGAGCGGUAGACAAACCUGUAUGAUAUGCCAUUUGGGCUGCUUGUGGGAGUCAAUAAUCACUUCCAGAGCGUGAUUUUUGGCGGUGUGCUAGUAAGAGAUGGGCAGUGGAAACUUUUCAAUGGGUGUUCACUGAAUUUACCCGCGUGAUGGGCGGCAAACAUCCACAAACCGUGCUCACAGAUCAAUGCAAGGCGAUGGAAGUAGCAAUAGAGAAAGUGAUGCCACACACGACUCACUGUUGGUGCAAGUGGCACGUGCACUUUGUAAUUUCGUGGGGCUAAAAGCUCCAGAACAAAAACGAAAGCCCGGUCACCAAUCACCCGCAGGGAUAAACCUCCAUAUGAUGAUCGUGGUGCAAAAAGCAAGAAGUACAGACUGACAGCAAAUGCACAAGCUUGAAAUGGAUGCGGGACAAGUAAAUGAACUCGCUUGUCCAUUAUAUGUUGAGAACCAGGGCACAAGAGCACCACAUGUCCACAAAGAGGUGAUCUUCCUCAAAAAGAAAGGAAAGCGGCAAAAUGCUCGAACUGUGGCUUCGGUGGUCACAGGAAAAACACCUGCAGCAAGCCUAGGGUUGUACUCCAUGUUGAAAUUGCUACCUUAGAGCCAAAUGCAAUUUGCGGGUGACUUAAUUUAGAUUCAGUGUUUGUUCUGUGUUGUUGAGGGCGUUGUAGCCGUUAACUUUAACUGCAAGACUCUUGUUGUAAUAAUAACCGUCAGUGAAGUACGCGUUGUUUGUGAUCAGGUUGUCGUUGUGAUUUGAAUGUUUAUCAUGUAGAGGAAAAAAUGUAUGAGAGUCUGCCUAAUGUUGUAGUGUGCAUGUGCAUCUCCCC
This 4213-nucleotide ribosomal RNA is filed under the name Triticum aestivum (bread wheat). RNAcentral's name for it is "partial small subunit ribosomal RNA". The stretch from base 2642 to 2756 matches the Rfam family "MIR1120/MIR1122 microRNA precursor family". Lineage: Eukaryota; Viridiplantae; Streptophyta; Magnoliopsida; Poales; Poaceae. The record is from RNAcentral.